GCAAUUGCCAACAGUGUAAACGAAGGAUAGAGCAUAUCCAUUACAUAUAAGCUGCAGAGGAGACACAGGAGUAGUUUUCUUAGACAUCUGUAAGAGUGGUGUCAAGAUUGAGCAAGUGCUUUCAUGCUGAGUUCUCUUUCCUUUUGUUUAGCGAAGUUUAUCUUGUAGGGACCUUUGGUCCAGUUUCCCUCUGCUUUCCACAUGGUAUUUUCACUUGCACUGUAGCUACAGCAUAGCUGGUUUGUUACUUUCCUCUUCCUGGGCUGGUGAUGACAAAAUGAUACCAUUCUCAUCACAGAGGGUUAUAUAUCUAUUCAUAACAGCGUUGAAAGAUGACACAGGGUAAAUGCAAAGAAGCAUCAAGGUCCUCAUGAUUUUAUUUGAGAGAGAGGUAUUUCUGGUAGUCUAAAGGAAAUCCAUUUCAGCUGUUGCCUGAAUUACCAAGGCAUGAAAACACAUUUCUCACAAUCUAUGAAAAUUCUUUAGUCAUUUCAUGUGCUCACUCUCAAAGCAAUCCAAAAGCUGUCAUAUUCGCAAUACUGAAUGAGUACACUCAAUGAUACUCAUAAGUCAAAUUAAGGUAGGCAUAUUCAGAAGAAUAAAAUUUUGUCUAAAAAUAGUCUCAUUUUCUCCGAUUUGGAAGCCCCAAGACAUUUUUUCUGUUUGCACAUAUAGCAGCAUUUACAUUACUGUUCAUCCUGGCUACAAAGUCACUGGACAACCCUGAAAGAGAAUGACCACAGAUGAAAAAGCAACUAUGAAGUCCCAUUAAGGUUUUGUUAUUACAAACCUAUUUUUAGAAAGCUUCAGUCUUUUGAAGAGAGUAACCACUUUGCAUAACAGCACAGACUAAUUGAGGAAGAUCUAUAAGAGUAGUGGUAAAGGCAUUCCAGAAAGCUAUACCUCAAAACUCCACAGCAGCCACUAAUAACUCCAUGUAAGGUGUAGGUGAAAAGGAAAUAAGUGUUUCUUUUCCAAUCUGAAUUGGAACAAUGGCACUUCUGGAACGCACAGUGGUAGUGGAAGAGGCUGAAGACUUUUGUGCGAACUCCAAGGAGCUUUGUGAAGAUCUUCGUACACAUUGAUGAGAAACAUCUUCCUACCCCCGCCCCAAGCCUUUACUUCUCGAGACUGAACAGUUCCAGCUCCCUCAUCCUUUCAUUGUAUGUAAGAUACUCCAGCCCAGGAUACUGUUGGACUCUUGCUGCAAGGACACACUGCUGGCUCAUGUCCAAUUUGUUGUCCAGGAACACCUAUGUUUCUACUGCCAUCAUACAGCUUACAAGUAACAUUUAUUAGUCUGUUUAUUAGACGUGUUAAUGCAAUCAUUUCUACUGAGUUUUCUGAAUGGUGAUAAGUCAGAGUUGAACAGGCCAGGUGGUUCUUGUCUUUGU
Molecule: long non-coding RNA, 1394 nt
Organism: Cuculus canorus (common cuckoo)
Lineage: Eukaryota; Metazoa; Chordata; Aves; Cuculiformes; Cuculidae
Exons: 3
Source: RefSeq, a predicted model, not a curated record